RNAcentral lists this long non-coding RNA (41866 nucleotides) under Triticum aestivum (bread wheat). RNAcentral's name for it is "long non-coding RNA (TAES_LNC009586)". The record is from RNAcentral. Lineage: Eukaryota; Viridiplantae; Streptophyta; Magnoliopsida; Poales; Poaceae.
UGAGAAAUUACUAAUGGCCAACAGAAAGAAUGUCAUGGCCAUGUUAUUUCUCACCACCAUUGUGGCGGUGGCGGCCACAAGGCCAGCCGAGACCUAUGGCGUUGCGGAGGAGAACACAUUGAAGAUGGCUACCCCCAGCAGGAAAGGGGUUGACGCUACCUUAGCAACUACACGUGUUGUUGCCGCCGAGAAGUCCAUCAAGAAGGCUGAAAGCGUCACCACACCAGAAGAGGCCGCGGCUGCCAAGCAAGAUGGAGCAAAAUCUGCUUCUGCUGCAUUAAAGUACAAUGCCAUCUCUCAGCAGGCAAAUGGUAAAGGUUCUUCUACCUCCCUAGGCAGGAAAGAAGCAGCCAAUACUUUAGCCGCCGCACACUAUGCCGCCACCGAGAAGUCCAUCAAGAAGGCCGAAACCACCAAGACACCUGCAAAGGUCGUGGCUGCCAAGCGAGACGCAGCAAAGUCUGUUGAUGAUGCAUUAAAGUAUGGUGCCAUCUCUCGGAAAGCAGCUGGUACAAGUUCUUCUACCUCCCCCAAUAAGAAAGAAGGCACCACUGAUGCUGCUAAGAUGUUCACCAAGAAGGCUGAAACCGCUACCACACCUGAAGAGGCCGCGGCUGCCAAGCAAGCUGCAGCCAAGUCUACCGCUGCUGCAUCAAAGUAUGGUGUCAUUUCUCAGCAAGUAGCUGGUACAAGUUCUUCUACCUCCCCUAGCAGGAAAGAAGCUGCCGGUACCUUGGCAGAUGCUCGCAUAGCUGCUGCCGAGAAGUCCAUCAAGAAGGCUGAAACCGCCACAAGACCUGAAGAGGCAGCAUCCGCUAAGAAGGAUGCCACAAAAUCCGAGGCUGAUGCAAUGAAGUACGGGGCCAUCUCUCAGCAGGCCGCCGGCAAAAAUGGUGCCUAAGUGGUGCCUUAAACACCUAUUCACACGCAACAUCAUCUACAUACUACCAUGCAUGCAAAAUAGCAGCAUUCAGAUACCACAUUAUGCUAAUUCUCAUGCAUGCACACUUUGUUUAAACGUUCCCAUUACGAAUCAUGUAUUAAUGUCUUGCUUGUUUUAUUUUUAGUAGUAAGACAUGCUUGACUUGCUUUAAAAAAAAUACAACAAUCGAUGUAUACAUGUAUUAUCUAAAAAUCAGUAAUAUGAGUUCCACCGCAAUUUGUUUCUUUUUGUCAUAAUUUGGGUGCAAUCAAUGCACACAUCCAAUACACAAAAUUGGACGACUCAAUGUGUUGUGGCUCCAUGGAGCGGCGAAUCAUGUUUUAUUGUCUUGCUUGUUUUACUUUUAGUAGUAAUGUCUUGCUGGUCAAUGUAUUAUGGCUCCAUGGAGCGGCAUAAUGAUAUAUGAUAUAUCUUCACUACUUCAAAAAGAACUUAAGGUUUCGUCAUACAUCUUUCCUUCAUCCAUCCUCCCUACGAAUCCUUCCUGUUUUGAUUUUUUUCUCCCAUCUUUGAUUUUUCUCCCCAUUGAUUCUACCUAAAAACCACCUCAAUGUCACAUGUUUACUGUAUAUGUCAAGGCCUCCUUUGGUUCAUAGGGUAGAAAAAAACAUAGGAAUAGGAAAGUCAUAGGAAAUGAGAUGACAUGUAUCUCAAAUCCUAUGAUUGGGAAUAGGAAAGGAGAUGCCCUUUGAUUCACAUCAUAGGAUUUUUUCAUUGAAUCUAGGCUAAUGUUUAUUUUCCUAUGAAAUGUGAAGGAGAGGAAGAAUUCCUCCAUAGGAUUAGGAUUCCAUUCCUACAAACCAAAGGACUCUAAAGGAAUUUUUUCUAUAGAAAUCCUAUCCUAUGAAAUUCUUACAAGAUUCCUCCAAAUCAAAGGAGGCCCAAGUGGUUGUGAUGAGACAGUGGCUGGGCACUUCAGAUUUAUUCCCGUAACUGACUGUCAAAUUGAGUCAUCUGUCGUCCUUUCGAUGAUUGUAAGAAAGUUAUAUGUUUACUGUAUGUGCCAAUUGGUUGUGAUUAUCGUUACCGGCCACAAAGUUAUAUUUUCUUGUCUUAACGAAGGGUUGCAUACAAUGCGUGUAGCUCUUGACGCCUGAUAACCCACAAGUAUAGGGGAUCGCAACAGUUUUUGAGGGUAGAGUAUUCAACACAAAUUUAUAGAUUCGACACAAGGGGAGCCAAAGAAUAUUUGUAAGUAUUAACAGCUGAGUUAUCAAUUCAACCACACCUGGAGAUUAAUUAUCUGCAGCAAAGUGAUCAGUAGCAUAGUAGUAUGAUAGUUUUGAUAGUAGUAGCAACAUCAACAGUAACGGUAAUAGUGGUAGCAAUGGUUUUGUAGCAGUGACAAUAGUAACAGCAGCAGUAGUAACUUAGCAAGAACAAUAUGUACGAAAAUCGUACGCAUUGGAUCGGUGAUUUGUUGGAUGAUAUUCAUCAUGUGACAGUUACAACCUAGGACGAUACGGCACUAGCUCCAGUUCAUAAAUAUAAUGUAGGCAUGUAUUCUAUAAAUAAUCAUACGUGCUUAUGGAAAGAACUUGUAUGACAUCUUUUGUCCUACCCUCCUGUGGCAGCGGUGUCCUAUUGGAAACUAAGGGAUAUUAAGGCCUCCUUUUAAUAGAGAACCAGAACAAAGCAUUAACACACGGUGAAUACAUGAACUCCUCAAACUACGGUCAUCACAGGGAAGUGUCCCGACUAUUGUCACUCCGGGGUUGCCGGAUCAUAACACGUAGUAGGUAACUAUAACUUGCAAGAUUGGAUCUAGAACAUAGAUAUAAUGGUGAUAACAUAAGUCAUAGCAACAUCAAUCUCAGAACAUAAUGGAUACUCGGGAUGAAGCCCUAACAAAACUAACUCAAUUACAUGAUGAAUCUCAUCCAACUCCUCACCGACCAGCGAGCCUACGAAGGAAUUACUCACUCCUGGUGGGGAGCAUCAUGGAAUUGGCGAUGGAGAAGGGUUGGUGAUGACGAAGAUCGAAGACCCCCCUCUCUGGAGCCCCAAACGGACUCCAAAUCUAGCCUCCCGAUGAAGAACAGGAGAUGACGGCGGCUCUGUCUCGUGGAUCGUGAUAAUUCUUUCUUCCUGAUUUUUUCUGGAAAAAUAGGAUUUUAUAGCGUCGGAUUCAGGGCCUGCGGGGCCACCAGGUGGGGACAACCCACCUGGGUGUGCUUGGAGGGGGGGGGCCUGGUGGGUUGUGCCCAUCCAGGUGCCCCCCUCCGGUUGUUCUUGGCUCCAGAAAUUCUCUGUAUUUGUAUAAAAAUUCCUCGCAAAGUUUUGUUCCAAUCCGAAAACUUUUAUUUCUGCACAAAAAAAACACCAUGGUAGUUUUGUUGGAAACAGCGUCAGUCCGGGUUAGUUUCAUUCAAAUCAUGCAAAUUAGAGUGCAAAACAAGAGGAAAGUGUUAGGAAAAGUAGAUACGACGGAGAUGUAUCAACUCCUCCAAGCUUAAACCUUUGCUUGUCCUCAAGCAAUUCAGUUGAUAAACUGAAAGUGAAAAAAAAAUUACGAACUCUUUUGCUCUUGUUUUCAUAAAUAAGCUUAAACAUCACCCAGUGUCGAUGUCAAAACCGGCGGAUCUCGGAUAGGGGGUCCCGAACUGUGCGUCUAGGCGGAUGGUAACAGGAGACAAGGGACACGAUGUUUACCCAGGUUCGGGCCCUCUCGAUGGAGGUAAAACCCUACUCCUGCUUGAUUAAUAUUGAUGAUAUGGGCAGUACAAGAGUAGAUCUACCACGAGAUCAAGGAGGCUAAACCCUAGAAGGUAGCCUAUGGUAUGAUUGUUGUUGUCCUACAGACUAAAACUCUCUGGUUUAUAUAGACACCGGAGAGGGUUAGGGUUACACAGAGUCGGUUACAAUGGUAGGAGAUCUACAUAUCUGUAUCGCCAAGCUUGCCUUCCACGCCAAGGAAAGUCCCUUCCAGACACGGGAAGAAGUCUUCAAUCUUGUAUGUUCAUAGUCCGGGAGUCCGGCUGAAGGUAUCGUCCGGCUAUCCGGACACCCCCUAAUUCAGGACUCCCUUAGAGCCCCCGAACCAGGCUUCAAUGACGACGAGUCUGGCACGCAAAUUGUCUUCGGCAUUGCAAGGCGGGUUCUCCUUCAAUUUCUGUGUACCUGCUGAAUAAUGUCCGGUUUCUUAUAAAUGUAGCGCUCCUCGGCUUCCACGCCCAAUAAUGGCCGUCUUCCACGUGUCAAAUGAAUACGAAAAGUCUGGGUGUUUUUACAUUCACACCCCCAGCCGCGUAAAUGAGCCGCCUAUUUAAAGGGACGGGGAUUUAGAUCCAAACCACACCUUCUCCUCUCCGCGAGUUUCAUCAGAGCGCAUCCGACAAAGGACCGUUCCAUCAUGGCCAGCCGUCGCAGCUCCUCCUCUCGCCCUUCCAGCCCUCAUCCUGGAGAUUGGGAGAGAUGCUCCGUCCCGCACAGCGAGCUAGUGUCGCUUCGGACCAAAGGGAUUUCUUCCUCCGGCCUAUAUGGUCCCGGUUCGAGCCGGACUUGCCACCUAUAAUGGCGGAGAGCAAGUGGAGAGCGCCCCCAAUCCCUCCAAAGGAGAGCGGGUAUGCCUUGUCCCUUAUUUAAUAAGAGGGCUCGGAUUUCCAAUUCAUCCAUUUCUCCGGGGGCUCCUGGAGUUCUAUGGCCUCCAGCUGCACAACCUCACGCCUGUCUCCGUAUUGCAUAUUGCGGGCUUCGUAGCCCUUUGCGAGUUGUUUUUGGGUGUUGAGGCUCAUUUCGCGCUGUGGAAGAGGCUAUUCUGCCUUGUGCCCUGUUCUUAGGAGGGGUCAAUAUAUCAAGUGGGCGGAGCCAAAGUGUGGUGUAUCGCCGGGACCGGAUAUCUAUCCGGAACCCCAAAGAAGGCGUCUGAGGACUGGCCUUCAGAAUGGUUUUAUAUAGAGGACGUCCCGUUGCCGGAUCCUGUUCGGAUCGGCCUCCCUGAGUUCAACAGCGCUCCCCUAAAGAAAAACCUAAGCUGGCGCCCACGGAGCCCUCAGAGAGAAAGUGACAAGGACAUUCUUUACCUGAUGGGCCGGAUAAGAUUAUUAGCUCAUUCCGGACUAACCAUGAUCGGAGUCAUGGCUGCAUGCAUCAUGCGAGGGGUGCAACCGCUUCAGUACAGAGGCCACCCCAUGUGGGACUUCAACGGGGAGGAUGAUGCCACCCGUCACGGCCGUAAGGGGCCGGACUCGGCUACCGCUCUAGUAAAGAUCUUGUCCGCUUUGUACAAGGGAGAAGAGGAGGAAUUUCUCCGCGUCAACCCACAGGGUGGAUUUACCAUGUACAAUCCCCCAAGUUGGGUAAGUGGGCAAUUUUACUUGCACGUCUGUUUUGUAUUCCCAUCAUUAAAUAUAUAGUCUAACGACUUCAACGCAGGAACUGCGCCUGGAAGUAAAGGACAUAAAUAGCCCGCCUCCACAGCCCGAGGACCCAGAGUUGUCCCUCGAUCCGGCCUCCGAAGAGGAUCCGGACUUAUCCAUGGAGUUAAUUGAUGGGGUGUUUUAUCAAUUGAGCAAGGACAAUGCCUUGGUGGCCAUUAAGGCCGAUUACCCGGGGCUGCUCCCGGCCUCCCAGGUAACUGAGACCGAAGUCCUAGCACCUCAAAAAGGGAUCCGCCCUCGCGUGUUUUUCAGUUUCCUGACAACAACCGUGUUUUGCAGGGGAGGUUCUUGAGACGGGAGGCCGAGCCUGCGGCGACUAGCCAACGAGGGGCUACAGGGCCCCGUGGGAUGAAAAGAAGUGCAGUCCGGAUUGAGGCGCCGGCGCAGAGGUAUAGCACGCCUUCUUAUUCCCAGGUGUUAUUCCUUCAAGGCAUAUUAACACUCGUGCUCUUUUCAGGACAAAAAGACCCCGCCGGACUAUAUCUGGAGAGGCUGCCAAUCGCGCCUCCACCAGCCAGGCUCCAAAGCCUGGUCCGGAGACGGAGGCGAACACGAGGCGCGCACCGGACGCUCCUCCAACAGAGGAUGCGGACAGGCUGUCCGCCACUAAUUCCGAGGUGGAGAGUGCCAUGAACCACAGGCGUCGCCGGACAGUUCUUCGCGACGCUUGUUUCUCCCAAGAGGCAUUGGACGCCUUCAAUUCGGGAGAUGCGUACCUCCGUGCCGCUCAAAAUGGUCUAGCCAGAGCCACGGAGCAAUAUGUAAAAGACAUACAGGUGAGAAAAUUUAAUGGUUAUAUAUAUCAGUAGCCCCCGAGACUUGAAACAGUUAGAAGAACUGAUUUAAGGAUCAUUCAUAAUGCAGGUUCUUGCGGAAAAGAAUACCCAACUGUCCCAGGAGCUAGAAGAGUGCAAAGCCCAACUUGAGGCCGCACUAGCCGCGACAGGGGAGCCCAAGGAGACCCCCUCUGGUAAUAUGUGCUUCAAAAAGAGAAGUAUUUUGUGAAGUGCGGCGUUUGUGCAAAUCUGACAAAUGAAAUUGCAGAUGGCGCCGGAUUAGAUCCGGAAAAGCAACAACUCCUACGCCAGCUAAAGGCUGGUGAGAGCGUGCUGACAAAGGUGAGGUGGGAGAAGAACGAUCUCCAAUAUGCCAACACCAAGCUGGGCGUUGAACUGAAAGAUGUUUGUGCCCAGCUGUCGGACUCCGCUAAGGAGAAUCAGCGGCUUCGACGCGGCAUAUUUAGUAAGUGCUUAAACGAACUUUGAAUAAAGAGUUCGACGAGGAAGUCGACUAACGGAGUAAUGUCUGUAGGUAUGCUAACAGGUCGUCCUGCAGAGGAGAUGCCCGGUUCUAUGGGUGACCUUCUUCCCGAGCUCUUGCAACUGCACGAGCGAGUUCGGCAGGUGAUGCAGGGCGUCGCCCAGGCCUUGUGGCCAUCCAUCUCCAUGCCCGAAGGACUUGGAGAGCUUGCAGAGAAGCUGAAGGGAGCGCGGCGGCGCUUCUGAUUGUGGAAGAUAUCGGCCUGCGUCAAGGCGCUAGGGAGGCAUGGGCCAUGGUGAAGACGCGGUACACGAAGGCUGACCCAAACCACAUGGCCGAGGUCGGACCUGUGGGGCCCGAUGGGAAGGAGAUCCCUGUAAGCUUCGUAUACGGCUAAGUAGAAUUGGCCGCAAAGUAUUCCCAGCAGGACUGUAAGCUAGACAGCCUGUUAGAUGGUAUUGAAGAGGAAUACAAUCAGUCAUAAUGACUAUGUAAUUUUAAUUGACAUGUGUAAUGCCUUCUAGCCAGAUUGUAGAUCAUUUUUCAUGGCCGACCUUUUUGCUUCGACCUCGGGACCUGCGGUCUGGAGUGUGUCCGAAUACCCUUGCGGUUAUAUAAGAACCGGGGUAUGCAUGGAGACUAGGCGUAGGGGUCAUUAGUGCUUGAACAGACAAGUGCCCGACUAGUUAUGUUAUAUUACAUGGUUAGUAAGAAACAUCUUCCAGGGAGAAUAGUUCCGUUAGGGGUUCCUUUCCCUGGGAGGCAUGCCCUAAAGUGCAUGUCCAUUCUGCGAAAAAGAGACGCAGGAAAAAACAUCUGGGGGCGCAUAGAUAAAUAAGUGAAAAAAUCAUCUUUAGUUCACCGACCGAAUAUUUCCUUAAGAACGCUAGCUUUCGGCUUCACCCAGUCUGAGGUACACAUCGGGCUGACCCGGCAGUAACAAUCGCAGAGGUGCUCCCUUUACCACCUAGCCGAACAAUCGGGAACAUAGGGGUAAGCACAGGAGCCAGGCAACCCAGCUUGGCCAAAAAUUAAGUCAUAUCGAUGCAUAUGAUGGUGAAUAAAAGGUACAUGCGGAAGUGUGACACAUGUGUUGGGCAUGAAGCCCGUAUAAGCUUCUGUUCAAAGAAGCCCCCAGGUUUAGUGAGCGUGGAUAGCGCGUCACUUGAUGAGCCUUUAAAGGCUAUAAGAGAAAGGAGGGGGAGAAGGAGAAAAUGGAAGACAGAAAAUAUAAAAAAUGGACAGAGGAAGGAGACGAACAUAGAGUCCGGCGCUAGGCAUAGAAUCUUCGGAGACGGGCUGCGUUCCAUGGGUUCGGUUCGAGUCGGUUAUCCGAUGCAUCUCGCAGGCGGUAUGCUCCACCAGUCAGGACUUGGUCAAUUAUGAAGGGACCUUCCCACUUGGGCUGGAGUUUGUCCUUUUUCUUGUCCGGCAGGCGUAGAACUAGUUCGCCAACAUUGUAAUUUUUGGCCCGUACUUCUCUGCUUUGAUAUCUUCGAGCCUGCUGUUGAUAGAAUGCGGAACGGGCUUUUGCCACGUCACGCUCCUCCUCCAAGGCAUCUAAACUGUCCUGCCGAUCGAGCUCGGCUUCUCUUUCUUCGUACAUGCGCACUCAAGGUGAGUCAUGAAUUAUAUCGCAGGGCAAAACUGCUUCUGCACCGUACACCAUGAAGAAUGGUGUGUAUCCGGUGGUGCGAUUCGACGUGGUCCGCAGCCCCCAGAGUACGGAGUCGAGCUCCUCUACCCAGUGCGUGUUAGAUUCCUUAAGGUACCGCACUAAUCUGGGUUUGAUGCCGCUCAUGAUAAGACCAUUUGCGUGUUCGACCUGUCCGUUAGUUUGUGGGUGAUAGACGGAAGCAUAAUCGAGCUUGAUGCCCAUGUUUUUGCACCAGAGUUUUACCUCAUCGACCGUAAAGUUCGUACCGUUAUCAGUGAUGAUGCUGUGGGGGACGCCGUAACGGUGUACGACCCCCGAUAUAAAGUCUAUCACCGGUCCGGAUUCGGCCGUCUUAAUAGGCUUGGCCUCUAUCCAUUUGGUGAACUUAUCCACCAUGACCAGUAAGUAUUUUUUCUUCUGGGUUCCGCCUUUAAGGGGUCCAACCAUGUCAAGCCCCCAGACCGCGAAGGGCCAAGUGAUGGGGAUAGUUUGGAGGGCGGUGGGUGGCAUAUGGCUUUGGUUUGGCAAAAGCUGGCAACCGACGCAUCGUUGGACUAAGUCCUGAGCGUCUGCCCGGGCCGUUGGCCAAUAAAAGCCUGUACGGAAAGUCUUGCUUACGAGGGACCGAGUUGCGGUGUGAUGACCAUCGAGUCCGGCAUGAAUUUCAGCCAGCAAGUUCCGCCCAUCCUCCUCGGAGAUGCACCUUUGAAGGACUCCGGUAGUGCUUUUCUUAUAAAGCUCUCCCUCAUGGACUUUAUAGGCUUUAGAUCGCCGCACUAUGCAGCGUGCCUCAUUUUGGUCUUCUGGGAGUUCCUGCCUAGUAAGGUAGGCUAGGAAUGGUUCUGUCCACGGGGCGAUGACCGCCAUUAUUACGUGGGCUGAAGAUGUGACUUCAUUGGCAGAAUCUCCAAUUAUGUCAGUGUUGGGUAACGUAGCAGAAAUUCAAAAUUUUCCUACGUGUCACCAAGAUCUAUCUAUGGAGAAACCAGCAACGAGGGGAAGGAGAGUGCAUCUACAUACCCUUGUAGAUCGCUAAGCGGAAGCGUUCAAGAGAACGGGGUUGAAGGAGUCGUACUCGUCGUGAUCCAAAUCACCGAUGAUCCUAGUGCCGAACGGACGGCACCUCCGCGUUCAACACACGUACAGCCCGGUGACGUAUCCCACGCCUUGAUCCAGCAAGGAGAGAGGGAGAGGUUGAGGAAGACUCCAUCCAGCAGCAGCACAACGGCGUGGUGGUGGUGGAGGAGCGUGGCAAUCCUGCAGGGCUUCGCCAAGCACCACGGGAGAGGAGGAAGGAGAGAUGCAGGGCUGCGUCAUAUAGAAGAGAGGAACUCGCGUCUUAUGAGCAGCCCAAACCUCAACUAUAUAUAGGGGAAGGGGAGAGGCUGCGGCCCCUUUAGGGUUUCCACCCCUAGGGGUGGCGGCCAGCCUAGAUCCCAUCUAAGGGAGGCGGCCAAGGGGGAGGGGGAGAGGGAGGCGCACCAGGAUGGGCCUUAGGGCCCAUCUGCCCUAGGGUUUGCCCCCUUCUCCUCUCCCUUGCACCUUGGGCCCUUGUGGGGGGGGGGGCGCACCAGCCCACCUGGGGCUGGUCCCCUUCCACACUUGGCCCAUGAAGCCCUCCGGGGCUGGUUUGCCCCACUUGGUGGACCCCCGGGACCCUCCCGGUGGUCCCGGUACGUCACCGAUAAACCCCGAAACUUUUCCGGUGACCAAAACAGGACUUCCCAUAUAUAAAUGUUUACCUCCGGACCAUUCCAGAACUCCUCGUGACGUCCGAGAUCUCAUCCGGGACUCCGAACAACAUUCGGUAACCACAUACAAACUUCCUUUAUAACCCCAGCGUCAUCGAACCUUAAGUGUGUAGACCCUACGGGUUUGGGAGACAUGCAGACAUGACCGAGACGUUCUCUGGUCAAUAACCAAUAGCGGGAUCUGGAUACCCAUGUUGGCUCCCACAUGUUCCACGAUGAUCUCAUCGGAUGAACCACGAUGUCAAGGACUUAAUCAAUCCCGUAUACAAUUCCCUUUGUCUAUCGGUACGAUACUCGCCCGAGAUUCGAUCGUCGGUAUCCCGAUACCUUGUUCAAUCUCAUUACCGGCAAGUCUCUUUACUCGUUCCGUAACACAUCAUCCCGUGAUCAACUCCUUGAUCACAUUGUGCACAUUAUGAUGAUGUCCUACCGAGUGGGCCCAGGGAUACCUCUCCGUCACACGGAGUGAUAAAUCCCAGUCUCGAUUCGUGCCAACCCAACAGACACUUUCAGAGAUACCCGUAGUGUACCUUUAUAGCCACCCAGUUACCUUGUGACGUUUGGCACACCCAAAGCACUCCUACGGUAACCGGGAGUUGCACAAUCUCAUGGUCUAAGGAAAUGAUACUUGACAUUAGAAAAGCUUUAGCAUACGAACUACACGAUCUAGUGCUAUGCUUAGGAUUGGGUCUUGUCCAUCACAUCAUUUUCCUAAUGAUGUGAUCCCGUUAUCAACGACAUCCAAUGUCCAUGGUCAGGAAACCGUAACCAUCUAUUGAUCAACGAGCUAGUCAACUAGAGGCUUACUAGGGACAUGGUGUUGUCUAUGUAUCCACACAUGUAUCUGAGUUUCCUAUCAAUAUAAUUCUAGCAUGGAUAAUAAACGAUUAUCAUGAACAAGGAAAUAUAAUAAUAAUCAAUUUAUUAUUUCCUCUAGGGCAUAUUUCCAACAGUCUCCCACUUGCACUAGAGUCAAUAAUCCAGUUCACAUCGUUAUGUGACUAACACUCAAGGUCACAUCCCCAUGUGACUAACACCCAAAGAGUUUACUAGAGUCAAUAAUCUAGUUCACAUUUACCAUGUGAUUAACACUCGAUGAGUUCUGGGUUUGAUCAUGUUAUGCUUGUGAGAGAGGUUAUAGUCAACGGGUCUGAACCUUUCAGAUCCGUGUGUGCUUUACAAAUCUCUAUGUCAUCUCCUAGAUGCAGCUACCACGCUCUAUUUGGAGCUAUUCCAAAUAACUGUUCUACUAUACGAAUCCAGUUUACUACUCAGAAUAAUCUGGAUUAGUGUCAAAGUUUGCAUCGGCGUAACCCUUUACGACGAACUCUUUUACCACCUCCAUAAUCGAGAAAAUUCCUUAGUCCACUAGUUACUAAGGAUAACUUUGAUCGCUGUCCUGUGAUCCAUUCUUGGAUCACUCUUGUACCCCUUGACUGACUCAUGGCAAGGCACACUUCAGGUGCGGUACAUAGCAUAGCAUACUGUAGAGCCUAUGUCUUAAGCAUAGGGGACGACCUUCGUUCUUUCUCUCUAUUCUGCCGUGGUCAAGCUUUAAGUCUUAACUUCAUACCUUACAACUCAGGCAAGAACUCCUUCUUUGACUGAUCCAUCUUGAACACCUUCAAGAUCAUGUCAAGGAAUGUGCUCAUUUGAAAGUACCAUUAAGUGUUUUGAUCUAUCCUUAUAGAUCUUGAUGCUCAAUGUUCAAAUAGCUUAAUCCAGGCUUUCCAUUGAAAAAACACUUUCCAAAUAACCCUAUAUGCUUUCCAGAAAUUCUACGUCAUUUCUGAUCAACAAUAUGUCAACAACAUAUAUUCAUCAGAAAUUCUAUAGUGCUCCCACUCACUUCUUUGGAAAUACAAGUUUCUCAUAAACUUCGUAUUCACCCAAAAUCUUUGAUCAUCUCAUCAAAGCAUACAUUCCAACUCGAGAUGCUUACUCCAGUACUUAGAAGGAUUGCUGGAGCUUUGCAUACUUAUUAGCAUAUUUCAGGAUUGACAAAACCUUCCGGUUGUAUCACAUACAACCUUUCCUCAAAAAUCAUCGAGGAAACAAUGUUUUGACAUCCUAUCUGCAAGAUUUCAUAAAUGAUGCAGUAAUUGCUAAUAUAAUUCCAACAGACUCUUAGCAUCGCUACGAGUGAGAAAGUCUCAUCGUAGUCAACUCCUUGAACUUGUCGGAAAACAUCUUAAUGACAAGUCGAGCUUUCUUAAUGGUGAUACUUACCAUCAUUGUCCGUCUUCCUUUUAAAAUCCAUAUGUACCUAACAGCCUUACGACCAUCAAGUUGUUCUUCCAAAGUCUACACUUUGUUUUCACAUAUGGAUCCUCUCUCGGAUUAUAUGGCCUUGAGCCAUUUUGGAAUCCAGGCCCACCAUUGCUCCUCCAUAGCUCGUAGGUUCAUUGUUGUCUAGCAACAUGACUUCCAAGACAGGAUUACGUACCAUUCUAAAGCAGUACACAUCCUUGUCAUCCCACGAGGUUUGGUAGUGACUUGAUCUGAAGUUUCAUGAUCACUAUCAUAAGCUUCCACUUCAAUUGGUGUAGGUGCCACAGGAACAACUCCCUGUGCCCUGCCACACACUAGUUGAAGAGAUGGUUCAAUAACCUCAUCAAGUCUCCACCAUCCUCCCACUCAAUUCUUUCGAGAGAAACUUUUCCUCGAGAAAGGACCCGAUUCUAGUAACAAUCCCUUAUUGCUUUCGAAUCUGAGACAGGAGGUAUACCCAACUGUUUUGGGUGUCCUAUGAAGAUGUAUUUAUCCGCUUUGGGUUCGAGCUUAUCGACCUGAAACUUUUUCACAUAAGCGUCGCAGCCCCAAACUUUUAAGAAAUGACAGCUUAGGUUUCUCUAAACCAUAGUUCAUACGGUGUCAUCUCAUCGGAAUUACGUGGUGCCCUAUUUAAAGUGAAUGUGGUUGUCUCUAAUGCCUAACCCAUAAACUAUUGUGGUAAUUCGAUAAGAGACAUCAUGGUAUGCAUCAUAUCCAAUAGGGUGCAGUUAUGAUGUUCGGACACACCAUCACACUAUGGUGUUCCAGGCUGUAUCAGUUGUGAAACAAUUUCCACAAUGUCUUAAUUCUGUGCCAAACUCGUAAUUCAGAUAUUCAUCUCUAUGAUCAUAUCAUAGAUAUUUUAUCCUCUUGUCACGAUGAUCUUUCAACUUCACCCUGAAAUUACUUGAACCUUUCAAUAAUUCAAACUCAUGAUUCAUCAAGUAAAUAUACUCAACAUCUACUCAAAUCAUCUGUGAAGUAAGAACAUAACGAUAUCCACUACAUUCCUCAGCACUCAUUGGACUGCACACAUCAAAAUGUAUUACUUCCAACAAGUUGCUUUCUAGUUCCAUUUUACUGAAACCGAGGCUUUCAGUCAUCUUGCCCAUGUGGUAUGAUUUGCAUGUCUCAAGUGAUUCAAAAUCAAGUGAGUCCAAAUGGUCCAUUUGCAUGGAGUUUCUUCAUGCAUAUACACCAAUAGACAUGGUUCGCAUGUCUCAAACUUUUCAAAAAUGAGUGAGCCCAAAGAUCCAUCAACAUGGAGCUUCUUCAUGCGUUUUAUACUGAUAUGACUUACGUGGCAGUGCCACAAGUAGGUGGUACUAUCAUUACUAUCUUAUAUCUUUUGGCAUGAACAUGUGUAUCACUACGAUCAAGAUUCAAUAAACCAUUCAUUUUAGGUGCAAGACCAUUGAAGGUAUUAUUCAAAUGAACAGAGUAACCAUUAUUCUCCUUAAAUGAAUAGCCGUAUCGCGAUAGACAUAAUCCAAUCAUGUCUAUGCUCAACGCAAACACCAAAUAACAAUUAUUUAGGUUUAACACCAAUCUCGAUGGUAGAGGGAGCGUGCGAUGCUUGAUCAUAUCAACAUUGGAAACACUUCCAACACAUAUCGUCAGCUCACCUUUAGCUAGUCUCCGUUUAUUCCGUAGCUUUUAUUUCAAGUUACUAACACUUAGCAACCGAACCGGUAUCUAAUACCCUGGUGCUACUAGGAGUACCAGUAAAGUACACAUUAACACAAUGUAUAUCCAAUAUACUUCUAUCGACCUUGCCAGCCUUCUCUUCUACCAAGUAUCUAGGGUAAUUCUGCUCCAGUGGCUGUUCCCCUUAUUACAGAAGCACUUAAUUAGUCUCGGGUUUGGGUUCAACCUUGGGUUUCUUCACUAGAGCAGCAGCUAAUUUGCCGUUUCAUGAAGUAUCCCUUCUUGCCCUUGCCCUUCUUGAAACUAGUGGUUUCACCAACCAUCAACAAUUGAUGCUCCUUCUUGAUUUCUACUUUUGUGGUGUCAAACAUCGCGAAUAUCUCAAGGAUCAUCAUAUAUGUCCCUGAUAUAUUAUAGUUCAUCACGAAGCUCUAGCAGCUUGGUGGUAAUGACUUCGGAGAAACAUCACUUUCUCAUCUGGAAGAUCAACUCCCACUCGAUUCAAAUGAUUGUUGUACUCAGACAAUCUGAGCACAAGCUCAACAAUUGAGCUUUUCUCCCUUAGUUUGCAGGCUAAGAAAAUUGUCGGAGGUCUUAUACCUCUUGACAUGGGCACGAGCCUGAAAUCCAAAUUUCAGCCCUCGAAACAUCUCAUAUGUUUUGCGACGUUUCAAAACGUCUUUGGUGCCUCAACUCUAAACCGUUUAACUGAACUAUCACGUAGUUAUGAAAAUGUGUAUGUCAGAUGUUCGCAACAUCCACAGACAACGUUCGAGGUUCAGCACACUGAGCGGUGCAUUAAGGACAUAAGCCUUCUAUGAAGCAAUGAGGACAAUCCUCAGUUUACGGACCUAGUCCGCAUAAUUGCUACUAUCAACUUUCAACUAUUUUUUUUUCUCUAGGAACAUAUCUAAACAGUAGAACUAAAGCGCGAGCUACGACAUAAUUUGCAAAAUCCUUUUGACUAUGUUCAGGAUAAACAAGUUCAUCUUAUGAACUUCCACUCAGAUAGAUAUCCCUCUAGUCAUCUAAGUGAUUACAUGAUCCGAGUCAACUAGGCCGUGUUCGAUCAUCACGUGAGACGGACUAGUCAUCAUCGGUGAACAUCUUCAUGUUGAUCGUAUCUACCAUACGACUCAUGCUCGACCUUUCGGUCUCUUGUGUUCCGAGGCCAUGUCUGUACAUGCUAGGCUCAUCAAGUCAACCUAAGUGUUUCGCGUGUGUAAAUCUGUCUUACACCCGUUGUAUGUGAACGUUAGAAUCUAUCACGCCCGAUCAUCACGUGGUGCUUCGAAACGACGAACUUUCGCAACGGUGCAUAGUUAGGGGGAACACUUUCUUGAAAUUUUAAUGAGGGAUCAUCUUAUUUACUACUGUCGUUCUAAGCAAAUAAGAUGUAUAAACAUGAUAAACAUCACAUGCAAUCAAAUAGUGAUAUGAUAUGGCCAAUAUCAUAGUGCUCCUUUUGAUCUCCAUCUUCGGGGCUCCAUGAUCAUCAUCACCGGCAUGACACCAUGAUCUCCAUCAUCAUGAUCUCCAUCAUCGUGUCUUCAUGAAGUUGUCUCGCCAACUAUUACUUCUACUACUACAGCUAACUGUUAGCAAUAAAGUGAAGUAAUUACAUGGCGUUGUUUAAUGACACGCAGGUCAUAUAAUAAAUUAAGACAACUCCUAUGGCUCCUGCCGGUUGUCAUACUCAUCGACAUGCAAGUCGUGAUUCCUAUUACAAGAACAUGAUCAAUCUCAUACAUCACAUAUCAUUCAUCACAUUCUUCUUGGCCAUAUCACAUCACAUAGCAUACCCUGCAAAAACAAGUUAGACGUCCUCUAAUUGUUGUUUGCAUGUUUUACGUGGCUGCUAUGGGUUUCUAGCAAGAACGUUUCUUACCUACGCAAAACCACAACGUGAUAUGCCAAUUGCUAUUUACCCUUCAUAAGGACCCUUUUCAUCGAAUCCGAUCCGUCUAAAGUGGGAGAGACAAACACCCGCCAGCCACCUUAUGCAACUAGUGCAUGUUUGUCGAUGGAACCGGUCUCACGUAAGCGUAUGUGUAAGGUUGGUCCGGGCCGCUUCAUCCCACAAUGCCGCCGAAUCAAGAUUGGACUAGUAACGGUAAGCAUAUUGAACAAAAUCAACGCCCACAACUACUUUGUGUUCUACUCGUGCAUAGAAUCUACGCAAUAGACCUAGCUCAUGAUGCCACUGUUGGGUAACGUAGCAGAAAUUCAAAAUUUUCCUAUGUGUCACCAAGAUCUAUCUAUGGAGAAACCAGCAACGAGGGGAAGGAGAGUGCAUCUACAUACCCUUGUAGAUCGCUAAGCAGAAGCGUUCAAGAGAACGUGGUUGAAGGAGUCGUACUCGUCAUGAUCCAAAUCACCGAUGAUCCUAGUGCCGAACGGAUGACACCUCUGCGUUCAACACACGUACAGCCCGGUGACGUAUCCCACGCCUUGAUCCAGCAAGGAGAGAGGGAGAGGUUGAGGAAGACUCCAUCCAGCAGCAGCACAACGGCGUGGUGGUGGUGGAGGAGCGUGGCAAUCCUGCAGGGCUUCGCCAAGCACCACGGGAGAGGAGGAAGGAGAGAUGCAGGGCUGCGUCAUAUAGAGGAGAGGAACUCGCGUCUUAUGAGCAGCCCAAACCUCAACUAUAUAUAGGGGAAGGGGAGGGGCUGCGACCCCUUUAGGGUUUCCACCCCUAGGGGUGGCGGCCAGCCUAGAUCCCAUCUAAGGGAGGCGGCCAAGGGGGAGGGGGAGAGGGAGGCGCACCAGGAUGGGCCUUAGGGCCCAUCUGCCCUAGGGUUUGCCCCCUUCUCCUCUCCCUUGCGCCUUGGGCCCUUGUGGGGGGGGGCGCACCAGCCCACCUGGGGCUGGUCCCCUUCCACACUUGGCCCAUGAAGCCCUCCGGGGCUGGUGGCCCCACUUGGUGGACCCCCGGGACCCUCCCGGUGGUCCCGGUACGUUACCGAUAAACCCCAAAACUUUUCCGGUGACCAAAAUAGGACUUCCCAUAUAUAAAUCUUUACCUCCGGACCAUUCCGGAACUCCUCGUGACGUUCGGGAUCUCAUUCGGGACUCCGAACAACAUUCGGUAACCACAUACAAACUUCCUUUAUAACCCCAGAGUCAUCGAACCUUAAGUGUGUAGACCCUACGGGUUCGGGAGACAUGCAGGCAUGACCGAGACGUUCUCCGGUCAAUAACCAACAGCGGGAUCUGGAUACCCAUGUUGGCUCCCACAUGUUCCACGAUGAUCUCAUCGGAUGAACCACGAUGUCAAGGACUUAAUCAAUCCCGUAUACAAUUCCCUUUGUCUAUCGGUAUGAUACUCGCCCGAGAUUCGAUCGUCGGUAUCCCGAUACCUUGUUCAAUCUCGUUACCGGCAAGUAUCUUUACUCGUUCCAUAACACAUCAUCCCGUGAUCAACUCCUUGAUCACAUUGUGCACAUUAUGAUGAUGUCCUACCGAGUGGGCCCAGAGAUACCUCUCCGUCACACGGAGUGACAAAUCCCAGUCUCGAUUCGUGCCAACCCAACAGACACUUUCGGAGAUACCCGUAGUGUACCUUUAUAGCCACCCAGUUACGUUGUGACGUUUGGCACACCCAAAGCACUCCUACGGUAACCGGGAGUUGCACAAUCUCAUGGUCUAAGGAAAUAUUGACAUUAGAAAAGCUUUAGCAUACGAACUACAUGAUCUAGUGCUAUGCUUAGGAUUGGAUCUUGUCCAUCACAUCAUUCUCCUAAUGAUGUGAUCCCGUUAUCAACGACAUCCAAUGUCCAUGGUCAGGAAACCGUAACCAUCUAUUGAUCAACGAGCUAGUCAACUAGAGGCUUACUAGGGACAUGGUGUUGUCUAUGUAUCCACACAUGUAUCUGAGUUUCCUAUCAAUACAAUUCUAGCAUGGAUAAUAAACGAUUAUCAUGAACAAGGAAAUAUAAUAAUAAUCAAUUUAUUAUUGCCUCUAGGGCAUAUUUCCAACAGUCAGAUUGUUCGGUGUUGGGCAGUGCGGUUGAGUCCGGGCUGUUAUUGCCGGGUUCCCCUUCCCAUACUACGGACGGCUUGAAUAGCCUUUCCAAGAAGAUGUUGGGAGGGACUGCAUCGCGUUUUGCGCCGAUGCGUGCCAGGACAUCCGCCGCCUGAUUAUUUUCCCGGGCUAUAUGGUGAAAUUCGAGCCCUUCGAACUGAGCUGACAUUUUUAAGACGAUGUUGCGAUAAGCUGCCAUUUUUGGAUCCUUGGCAUCGAAGUCUCUGUUUAUUUGGGACAUUGCGAGGUUCAAAUCCCCUCGCACUUCUAGGCGUUGAAUACCCAUGGAUACUGCCAUCCAGAGACCAUGUAAGAGGGCCUCGUAUUCGGCUGCAUUGUUGGAGUCUGUGUACAUAAUCUGGAGUACAUAUUGAACUGUGUCUCCUGUGGGGGACGUCAAAACGACGCCAGCCCCCAGACCGGCCAACAUUUUGGAGCCGUCGAAAUGCAUGAUCUAGUUUUAAUAUGUGCCGUACUCUUCAGGGAGUUCGGCCUCCGUCCAUUCUGUGACGAAGUCAGCCAAAACUUGCGACUUGAUAGCUCGCCGUGGCUUAUAAGUUAUGUCGAACGGGAGGAGCUCGAUGGCCCAUUUCGCAAUCCGGCCCGUUGCGUUGCGGUUCUUUAUAAUAUCGUUUAGUGGUACUUCUGAGGCUACUAUUAUUGAACACUCUUGAAAGUAGUGUCGCAGCUUCCGGGAUGCCAUGAAUACCGCGUACGCAAUCUUUUGAUAAUGUGGGUACCUUGAUUUGCACGGAGUGAGGACAGUGGACACAUAAUAGACCGGCUUCUGAAGGGGGAAUUUGUGUCCGUCGUUUCUCGUUCGACGACGAGCACUGCGCUCAGAACCUGAUGGGUUGCUGCAAUGUAUAAUAGCAUUGGUUCGCCAAUGUUUGGCGCGGCCAGGACUGGGUUUGUUGCCAAUAUGGCUUUUAUUUCGUCGAGUCCGGCCGUGGCUGCGUCCGUCCACUCGAAGUGUUCGGUGCGCCUAAGGAGGCGGUAAAGGGGGAGUGCCUUUUCUCCCAAGUGGGAGAUAAAGCGGCUUAGAGCCGCCACACAUCCGGUUUACUUUUGUAUUUGUUUGAGGUCCUUUGGGAUAUUCAAUUGUGACAGAGCUCGGAUCUUGGCUGGAUUUGCUUCAAUUCCUCUACCGAAUACAAUGAAGCCCAAGAGCUUUCCGGCUGGAACGCCGAAAACGCAUUUUUCUGGGUUGAGCUUGAUGUCGUAUGUUCGGAGGUUAUCAAAUGUGAGCCUCAAGUCAUCUACUAGGGAUUCGACAUGUCUUGUUUUUACGACCACAUCAUCUACAUAUGCCUCCACUGUUUUGCUGAUCUGGUUUGCCAGACAUGUCUGAAUCAUGCGCUGAUAUGUUGUUUUGAGCCCGAAGGGCAUUGUGUUGAAGCAGAAUGGGCCGUAUGGUGUGAUCAAUGUCGUUGCGGCUUGGUCUGAUUCUGCCAUCUUGAUUUGAUGGUAGCCGGAAUAUGCGUCGAGCAAGCACAACGAAUCGUGUCCUGCAGUAGCGUCGAUAAUUUGAUCCAUGCGGGGGAGGGGAAAGGGAUCCUUUGGGCAAGCCUUAUUAAGGUCUUUAAAAUCAACGCACAAGUGCCAGGAUUUGUCCUUCUUUGGUACCAUCACUAGGUUUGCUAGCCAGUCCGGAUGUUUUAUAUCUCUGAUGGAUCCGGCCUCUAAUAGCUUGGCUAGCUCCUCUCCCAUGGCCUGUCUCUUAGGUUCGGAAAAACGCCGAAGAGCCUGUUUGACAGGUUUGAAUCCUUUAGGAUAUUUAAGCUGUGUUCGGCCAGCCUGCGUGGGAUUCCUGGCAUGUCUGAAGGGUGCCAGGCGAAAAUGUCCUAGUUCUCACGUAGGAACUCUCGCAGUGCGGCGUCUACAUCAGGGUUUAAUUGUGCACCGAUGGAAGCUGUUUUAUUGGGGUCCGUUGGAUGGACCUGGAAUUUGACUAUUUUGUCCGCUGGUUUAAAUGAGAUGGACUUGGAUCUUUUGUCGAGUAUCACAUCAUCCCUGUUCACCGUGGAGCGCAGCGCAGUCAGCUCCUCAGCCGCUAGGGCUUAGGAUAGUGCCUCAAGGGCCAGUGCGGCUGUCUUAUUUUAGGCGCGGAGUGCUAUGUCCAGAUCACUAGCGAGAGUGAUGAUUCCGUUCGGCCCGGGCAUCUUGAGUUUCAUGUACCCAUAAUGGGGUAUUGCUUGGAAGAUUGUGAACGCUUCCCGCCCUAGCAGAGCGUGGUAUCCGCUACUGAACGGGACCACUUGGAACGUGACCUCCUCGGACCUGUAAUUAUCCGGCGUGCCGAACACCACAUCUAGUGUGAUUUUUCCUGUACAGCACGCUUCCUGACUGGGGAUUAUUCCUCUAAAGGUUGUGCUGCUUCGCUCAAUGCGGUUCCAGUCUAUUUCUAGUUUUUGAAGGGUUUCCUCAUAAAUGAGGUUCAAUCCGCUGCCUCCAUCCAUGAGUACCUUGGUAAGGCGAAAGCCAUCCACUAUUAGACUGAGGACCAAUGUGGCUGGUGCUCGGGCUGUUCGGAAUUUAGGUUCAUCACUGGCAUUAAAAGUAAUAGCCGUGUCACUCCAUGGGUUUAUUGUUGCUACUUGGUAGACUUCGACAAGGCUGCGGAGUGUUCUUUUUCGCAUAUUAUUUGAUGCGAAAGUCUCGAAGACUGUUAAUACCGUACCGGUAUCCCUGGGGUGGCUUUCUAUGGCCUCCGGAAUUAGGAGAUCUUCACCAAUUUUGGCCACCUGCCGGAGUAUCCAACAUGCUCUAAGGCUGUGAGUUGGUGUGGCGCCCUCUGUACUAUGAAUUUUACAGGGUCGAUUAAGCCAUCCUUCCAAUAUGCUUCCAUGCCCUGUAGAGGGUUUUUGCUUUUUGGUGUUUAACCGGGUGUCUGGCGAAGAUGCACCCUUUUAUUUCGGACUGGGUUUGUAUUCAGGGCCGGAUUGUCCCAAAAUUUUAUUUCGGUUUUCCAGGCGCUAUCCAUCGCACAGUACUUUCGUACUAUGGACACCAAGUCAGCGAAGCAUGUAAUAUCACGGCGACUUAUGGCGUUGAGGAUUCCCUUGUCCAUGCAAUUAUUGCAGAAGAAUGAGAUUGCGUCUUCCUCGCGGCAGUCCUUGAUCCUGUUCAUAGCCAGGAGGAAUCUGGCCCAGUAAUGAUGUACUGUUUCUUUGGGUUUUUGCCUAAUUUGGGAUAGAUCGCUUAUGUUCGGGUGGGUGGGUGGAAUUAAAUCCGAAACCUGACCCGAUCUGAGACUCAGAGGCCAAGGAGAUUCCGAACUCGGAAGUUUGGAUUCUUGGAUGUUGUCCAAUGAGUCUAGCCCGUCGCCUGACUCUAAGUUCAGGUCUUGAGUGAUGUCCUCCCCUCCGCGGGUAUCCGACUUGGAGGGAUCGGGAAUCCGGACAUAACUAGUCCUUAAGAUAGAUGAAGGGUCACCGCACUGUCCCUCUACCAUAGCAAUGUGAUGGGUGACCUGGGGAGAGUUAAUCUCUCUUAGAUCGGGUUUAGGCCCAAUCUGGUCAUAAUCCGUGGCAACUCCCAGGGCGGCGACGCGAUCCAAGAGCUCGUUUAUGGAAGAGAGCUCCAUUGUAUCUAACUGCUCGGCGAGUUCCGAGAUGACAUGAAGACUGCUUUUGAUGACCCGAGAGGUCAUCGUCGGCGCAGCAGCCGAACAGGCGGUCAUAAGAAAACCGCCUAGCCGGAGAGUUUGGCCGACAGCCAAAGCUCCCUUAGCAACGGUUCCGUCUUUAAAGACGGGAUGAGGCAUCCUUCCUGAUGGCGACGGCACAGAGGAACUCUCAAUGUAAGCACCAAUAUCGGUGUCAAAACCGGCGGAUCUCGGGUAGGGGGUCCCGAACUGUGCGUCUAGGCGGAUGGUAACAGGACACAAGGGACACGAUGUUUACCCAGGUUCGGGCCCUCUCGAUGGAGGUAAAACCCUACUCCUGCUUGAUUAAUAUUGAUGAUAUGGGUAGUACAAGAGUAGAUAUACCACGAGAUCAAGGAGGCUAAACCCUAGAAGCUAGCCUAUGGUAUGAUUGUUGUUGUCCUACGGACUAAAACCCUUCGGUUUAUAUAGACACCGGAGAGGGUUAGGGUUACACAGAGUCGGUUACAAUGGUAGGAUAUCUACAUAUCCGUAUCGCCAAGCUUGCCUUCCACGCCAAGGAAAGUCCCUUCCGGACAUGGGACGAAGUCUUCAAUCUUGUAUCUUCAUAGUCCGGGAGUCCGGCUGAAGGUAUAGUCCGGCUAUCCAGACACCCCCUAAUCCAGGACUCCCUCACCCAGGUUUUCAGCCAAGAUUAUAACUAACCAUGUCGACAAUAACUCUUAAACAUUAUAGUAACUCUUAUGAGUAGAGGCCGCGGGAAAAAGCCUAGUAGUAGCGCGGAUAAAAGACUAGUAGUAGUGCGGGUGCCCGUGCUACUACUAUGGCGCUACAGCUAACUCGUAGUAGUAGCGCAGGUGCCACCCGUGCUACUAGUACGUGUGUUAGUAAUAGCGCGGAUUCUACACACGCUACUACUAACUAUGUGUAGCGCCUGUCUGUGACCCGCGCUACUACUAUUAAUUUCAAAAACCAAAAAAAAAUCUCGACCCCGUGCAUGUUGUCAAUGGUGUCAUCCAGCGACGACAGGGGUUGCCGGAGGUGUGGACGGGUAGUGGCAGACCAGAUCCGGCGAUGGCUGUUGGAGAUGGCCGGAUCCAGUGUAGAGCAAGACGACGGUGUGAGGAUCCUCUUCGCGGUCAAGGCGGAGAACUCCUGGUUGGCCAUGUCGACGACCUGUGCAGGCAUGGGCAUGGGAGGUGAGUAAAACCAAAGGGAGAGGGAGAGGAGAGGGAGAGGGAAAAAGAGAAACAAGGGAGAAAGGAAGGAGAUGGAGGGCGUAUCGGGGCUGCAUGGAGGCGAGGAGGAAGACGGGCGAGCUCUUGGACGCCAGCGAUGCGAGGAGGAAGACGUUGGGUGCCAUGGAGGAGGAGAUGUUCUUGGGCAGGAGCACCAUGGAGAGAGGGGGAAAGUGAGGGAGAGAGGAGGAAAGUGAGAGAGGGGGAAAGUGAGGGAGAGAGGAGGGAUUCGGCCGAGGAUAUGGAGAUUUCAUCUACCUCGUACUUAGUAGUAGCGAGGGGUAUAAAACCGCACUACUACUAUCAACAUAGUAGUAGCAUGGGUUUGUACCCCUCGCUACUACUAUGGCAUGUCCCGGGAGGGCAUGGUAGACACCGCUUAGUAGUAUCGAGGGUGAAAAACCCGCGCUAAUAGUAUCAACUUAGUAGUAGCGAGGGGUAAAAACCCACGCUACUAGUAAGUAGCAGUAGCGACGGUUAUAAACCCGCGCUACUAGUAAGCGUCUGCCUAUAAGCUUUUCCCUAGUAGUGGCAUAUCUAUGACAUAAUCAACUAGCGAGCAAUAAUAAGAUAUCUCAAACAACAACACGUUGUGAAAACAACCAUGAUAUAAUAUGACAAUAGUGGUAUCUCGCUAGCCCUUUCUAAGACCGCAAAACAUAAAUGCAGAGCACCUCCAAAGUUCAAGCAGCGACUAAACAUUGUAAUUCAUGGUAGAAAAGAUCUAGUCUUGAUGCACCCAACAUUAGCAACACAUAGUGCAUCAGCAUGACAACAGUGCUCUUUGGAUUUGGCACUUAUUUUAGAAGGUGAUGACACAACAUAAAAGUAAAUAGAUAGUCCCUUCGCAGAGGGAAGCAGUGAUUUGCAGCUGUGCCAGAGCUCAAAAUUUUAAAACAGAGGUAAAUGAAAUUUUGGGAAAUUGAUACGUAUCCAAUGUAUCUAUAAUUUUUUAUUGUUCCAUGCUAUAUUAUAUUAUGUUUUGGAUGUUUAAUAGGCUUAUUUAUACACUUUUAUAUUAUUUUUGGGACUAACCUAUUAACCGGAGGCCCAGCACAAAUUGCUGUUUUUGUUCCUACUUCAGUGUUUCGCAAAAAAAAGAAUAUCAAAUGGAGUGCAAACGGAAUGAAACCUUCGGGAACAUGAUUUUUGAAACAAAUGUGAUCCAGAGGACUUGGAGUCCAUGUCAAGCAGUCAACGAGGAGGGCACGAGGCAGGGGGCGCUCCUACCUCCCCCUAGGCGCGCCCUCCACCCUCAUGGGGCCCACGUUGCUCCACCGGCGUACUUCUUCCUCCUAUAUAUACCUACGUACCCCCAAACCAUCAGGGGCAUCCACGAAAACCUAAUUCCACCGCCGCAACCUUCUGUACACGUGAGAUCCCAUCUUGGGGCCUUUUCCGGCAUCCUGCCGGAGGGGGCAUUGAUCACGGAGGGCUUCUACAUCAACACCAUAGCCACUCCGAUGAUGUGUGAGUAGUUUACCUUAGACUUUUGGGUCCAUAGUUAUUAGCUAGAUGGCUUCUUCUCUCUCUUUGGAUCUCAAUACAAAGUUCUCCACGAUUCUCGUGGAGAUCUAUUCGAUGUAAUCUUCUUUUGCGGUGUGUUUGUCGGGACCGAUGAAUUAUGGAUUUAUGAUCAAGUUUAUCUAUGAACAAUAUUUGAAUAUCCUCUGAAUUCUUUUAUGUAUGAUUGGUUAUCUUUGCAAGUCUCUUCGAAUUAUCAGUUUGGUUUGGCCUACUAGAUUGAUCUUUCUUGCAACGGGAGAAGUGCCUAGCUUUGAGUUCAAUCUUGUGGUGUCGUUUCCCAGUGACAGCAGGGGCAGCAAGGCACGUAUUGUAUUGUUGCCAUCGAGGAUAACAAGAUGGGGUUUAUAUCAUAUUGCAUGAGUUUAUCUCUCUACAUCAUGUCAUCUUGCUUAAAGCGUUACUCUGUUCUUAUGAACUUAAUACUCUAGAUGCAUGUUGGAUAGCGAUCGAUGUGUGGAGUAAUAGUAGUAGAUGCAGGCAGGAGUCGGUCUACUUGUCACGGACAUGAUGCCUAUAUACAUGAUCAUACCUAGAUAUUCUCAUAACUAUGCUCAAUUCUAUCAAUUGCUCGACAGUAAUUUGUUCACCCACCGUAAUACUUAUGCUUUUGAGAGAAGCCACUAAUGAAACAUAUGGCCCCCGGGUCUAUUUUCCAUCAUAUUAAUCUUCCAACACAUAGCCUUUUCUAUUGCCCUUUUUAUUUUACUUUGCAUCUCUAUUUCUCUUUAUCAUAGAAAUACUAAAAAUAUUAUCUUAUCAUAUCUAUCAGAUCUCACUCUCGUUAGUGACCGUGAAGGGAUUGACAACCCCUUUAUCGCGUUGGUUGCGAGGUUCUUAUUUGUUUUGUGUAGGUGCGUGGGACUUGAGCGUGGCCUCCUACUGGAUUGAUACCUUUGUUCUCAAAACUGAGGGAAAUACUUACGCUACUUUGUUACAUCACCCUUUCCUCUUCAAGGCAAAAAACAACGCAAUGCUCAAGAGGUAGCAAGAAAGAUUUCUGGCGCCGUUGCCGGGGAGUUUACGCAAAAGUCAACAUACCAAGUACCCAUCACAAACUCUUAUCCCUUGCAUUACAUUAUUUGCCAUUUGCCUCUCGUUUUCCUCUCCCUCGCUUCACCCUUGCCGUUUUAUUCGCCCUCUUUUCCGCUCGCCUUUCCUUCGCCAUGUCGGAACCAAAAAGAGUUGGGGGUUCUCUCCCGAGUUUUAGUACUUUGGACGAUCCUUCUAUUCUAUCUAAACUCAUAAAUAAUGUCAUGGUAAAACCUGCCGGAGUUGUCAAUGAGAGUCUUAAUAAUUUUGAUGAAGAUGAUUCCGGAAUUUUUCGUUAUUUACUCGAUGAAUCUUUGAAAGAUGCUUGGGAUAGACUGUUAAGGAUCCGGGCUAACUAUGUGCCCCAAUACCAAAUUGUAGUUUACUUGAAGAGCUUUUAUGUUGCCCUACCUUCUUCGUUUAAGCAUGUCUUAGAUUCUAUAUUUGAAGAAGGCUUUCUUGAAGGGGAUGCCGUAGAUACUUAUGAAAAGAUGAAGACCAUAUUCGGGCACCCCAUGAAUGAGAAAAUUGAAUCUACAUCUCUUUUGCUCUCCAGUCCUUGGUUCAUGUAAAUCUGAAUCUAGCCGGCACUACCCCUUCACAAGCUGUUGCAUAGUCUUCAGCGAGGUGCGGCAUAACUUCCGUGUGAGGGGAAAUGAACUUCUCCAUGAAUACCUUCUCUCUCACCUUGAAAGCGGUAUAGUAGUAGCCUGGGUUGCACUUGAGCAAUCCAUUUUCCAUGAGAAACUUUACAACGUAGUACCUGGGUUUCAUCCAGCCCUCCAGCUUGUAAUUGAUAAUUAUUGACCGUUGAGCAACGUAGGUAGGUUCCAACCUGUUAGACUAUGUAUAGCUUCUGUACCUAUGUACGUAUAUGGUACAUAUUGUAACACAACCAUUAUAUAUAAUGAGAUAAGCCACCCCUAGAGGGUUGUGCUGGUUCCCCAAAACUUAUUGUCUUACAUGGUAUCACGCUAGGUUACGAUCGCUUCCGCUUCUAAACCCUAAUACCCGCACCGCCGCCGCAGCCGCCGCCGCCUUCACCGCCGCCGCCGCGCCACCGAUCGCGCCGCCGCCAUGUCGAGCGCUGCCACCACCGGUUCCACUGCUGCGGGCUUCCUCCCGGCCUCUCUUGCGGCUCUGCUCAACCUCCCGCUCGAUGCCGUCUCUGUUCCGGCUCCGAUCGGGACAAGGAGCAUCGGCUCCGUCUUCUCCAUGCCGCCGGCGCCCUCGCUUGGGCGUGACCUCGUGGUCCACACCGCGGCGCCGCCGUCCGCUGCGGACUCCGCAGGCAUCGUCCCGCCGCUCCUGCCGCAAGCGGAUCACACUGCCCCGCUGGCGGGGUUGGCGGCGUCCGCCCCGGCCGCGGGCCUUGCGGCGUCCGCACCGGCCGCGAGCUUUGCGGCGCCCGCCCUGGCUGCGGUCCCGCCUCCUCCCGCAUCGGCUUCGGUGCCUCCAGCUGCCUCCAUGGUGUUUGCACCCCAGGCAGCCUCCUCGAUGGGAUUGUCUUCGCCGCUGCCGUUUCACUUCGGUCAUCUCAUCACCAUCAAGCUCUCCGCCGACAACUACAUCUUCUGGCGUGCGCAGGUUCUCCCGCUCUUGGGGAGUCACUACCUGCUAGGCUACAUCGACGGAUCGCUUCCCUGCCCACCCGCGCUGGUAGACAGCAUGCACGGUCCGGUCUACAAUCCGGCCCAUCGCGUCUGGACGGGGCAGGACCAGGCGAACCUCUCCUCCAUCCAGGGGUCGCUCUCGCCGGCAGUUGUCGGCCUUGUUGUCUUCGCGAAGACGUCUCAUGAGGCCUGGACCAUCCUUGAGCACACCUUUGCAGCGCAGUCCCAGGCUCGUGUCUCUGCACUCCGUCGUCAGCUUGGAGAGUGUCAGAAGCUUGACUCCACUGCCACUGAGUUCUACAACAAGGUCAAGGGCCUCGCCGACACAUUGGCCUCCAUUGGACAGCCCCUCACCGACUCCGAGUUCAACUCGUUUAUUGUCAAUGGUCUUGAUGAGGAGUAUGAUGCCUUAGUCGAGAUCAUCAACGAGCGGGGCAACUCGACACCCAUGCUGGCACACGAGGUUUUCUCUCGGCUCCUUCUCACUGAGCAACGGGUCGAGACUCGCCGCACCAGGGGCACUGGCUCCCUCUCGGCCAACGCCGCCACCAAGGGUGGCCGCUCUUCUUCAUCACCCCGGUCUCCCUUGGGGCUGCCACCGUCGCCCUCCUCGGCCCCCCACCUACUGCGACCUUACCGGGGGCUGGCGUUCCACGUGUGUGUCAGCUUUGUGGCCGCGAUGGGCACUGGGCCUCCAAGUGUCAUAAGCGCUUCCAGCGAAGCUUCCUUGGUCUUGGCAAUGACGGCAAAGAUACACGCAACAAUGCCCGUCAGGUCGCCAUGGCUGAUCGUCCCGCGCCGCAGAAGCAACAGGGACACACUCAGUCCUACUCCAUCGAUCCACACUGGUACAUGGACUCUGGGGCGAUAGAGCAUCUAACCAGCGAGAUGGGGAAGCUUCACACUCGUGAACCCUAUCAUGGCUCCGACAAGAUCCACACCGCCAAUGGAGCAGGUAUGCACAUCUCUCAUAUUGGUCAAGCAUCUCUUCUCACUAGACAUGCCAAUAGGAGUCUUCAGCUUCGCAAUGUUCUUCGAGUUCCAUCUGUGACCCGUAAUCUUCUUUCAGUUCCUAAACUCACACGUGAUAAUAAUGUGCUUUGUGAAUUUCACCCUUUUGAUCUUUUUAUUAAGGAUCGGGGCACGAGGGACAUUCUUCUUAGUGGGCGGUUGUGCCAGGGCCUCUACCGUCUGGAGCAUCCUGGUGUCGCUCGUGUUUUCAGUGGAGUUCGGGUCUCUCCGUCACAGUGGCAUGCUCGUCUUGGUCACCCGGCCACACCUAUUGUCCGUCAUAUUUUGCGUCGUCAUGAGCUUCCUAGUUUGUCUAGUCAUAAAGAUGUAGCAGUGUGUGAUGCUUGUCAGCAGGGGAAGAGUCAUCAACUUCCUUUUUCGGAGUCCAGUCGUGAGGUGAAACAUCCUUUAGAACUUGUGUUUUCAGAUGUAUGGGGUCCUGCUCAGACUUCUGUCAGUGGUCAUAAUUACUAUAUCAGUAGUCGCUUUACCUGGCUUUACCUUAUUAAACGCAAAUCUGAUGUGUUUGAUAUUUUUGUUCAGUUUCAAAAACAUGUUGAACGUCUUCUCAAGCACAAAAUUGUUCAUGUCCAGUCAGACUGGGGGGGCGAGUAUCGCAACCUCAACUCUUUCUUUCAGUCGCUUGGGAUAGCUCAUCGUUUAGCAUGUCCACAUACACAUCAGCAGAAUGGUUCAGUCGAACGUAAGCAUCGUCAUAUUGUUGAAGCUGGUCUUACUCUUUUGGCCCAUGCAUCUAUUCCGUUUCGGUUUUGGAGUGAUGCUUUCACCAUUGCAUGCUUUCUCAUCAACCAUACUCCUACUCGUGUUUUAAACAUGAAGACUCCCAUUGAGGUUCUCCUUAAUGAACAACCUGAUUAUACCUUUCUCAAGGUAUUUGGGUGUGCUUGCUGGCCGCAUCUUCGUCCAUAUAACAAGCGCAAGCUUGAGUUUCGUUCUAAGAAGUGUGUUUUUCUUGGCUAUAGCUCUCUUCAUAAAAGUUACAAAUGUCUUCAUGUUCCCACUAAUCGUGUCUAUAUAUCUCGGGACGUCGUGUUUGAUGAGCAUGUUUUUCCCUUUGCCAACCUUCCUGUGUCCACUGUCGAACCACCAUCCCUGCAUUCAUCCUCUGUUGCUUCUGACCAAUUUGAUGAUGUUGCAUACUCUCCUUUGCUGUUACCUAACCAUCUCCACUGCUCGGUCCGUUUCGCCAGCGGCCGCCGAGUCGCCCGCGACUCGGCCCGUCACGCCGUCUUCGCCUGCGGCUCGGCCCGUCACGCCGUCUUCGCCCGCGGCUCGGGUCCUCAUGUCGCCUUCAUCAGCGGAUCGGCCUGCGACACCGGCCGCGCCACGGCCCACUAUGCCGAGCUCGCCAUCGGCCCGGUCUGUGAUGCCGGAGUCGCCAGCUGCUUCGUCUGCUCUGCCGGUUUCGCCGGUGGGUCGGCCUUCUUCGCCAACCGAGUCCGAGGCUACCGUGACUGGCUCCUCGUCACCGGCUGACUCGUCAACGUCGCCGUCCUCCAGCCCGUUGCAGGCUGCUCCGUCGACCUCGGUGGUUCCUGUGUCCCGACCACAUACAUGCAGUCGCAGUGGCAUUUUCAAACCUAAGGAACGUAAGGAUGGUACGGUUGCUUGGUUGGCUGCUUGUUUGGCUGCUGCUGUUGCGGAUCCAUCUUCUGAGCCUCGCUCAUAUCAGGCUGCCCUGCGCAUUCCACAUUGGCGAGAGGCUAUGGAGCAGGAGUUUCAUGCUCUUCUUCGUAACAAGACAUGGACUCUCGUUCCUCCACCACCACGGGUAAAUGUUAUUGAAUCAAAAUGGGUAUUCAAAGUGAAGAAGCAUUCGGAUGGAUCUAUUGAGCGUUACAAAGCGCGACUUGUUGCUCGCGGUUUUCGGCAGCGUCAUGGUCUUGACUAUGAGGACACCUUCAGUCCUGUCGUCAAGCCUACCACUAUUCGACUUCUUCUCUCCAUUGUUGUUUCUCGUGGUUGGUCACUUCGUCAACUUGAUGUGCAGAAUGCUUUUCUACAUGGAUUUUUGGAGGAAGAGGUUUAUAUGAAACAGCCGCCUGGUUUCUCUGAUCCUGAUCGUCCUGACUAUAUCUGUCGUCUUUCCAAAGCACUAUAUGGUUUGAAGCAAGCUCCUCGUGCCUGGCAUGCCUGCCUUGCCUCUGCCCUUCGUGCUCAUGGGUUUGUGCCGUCUACUGCUGACACUUCGUUAUUUCUUCUACAGAAGCCAGAAGUCACUAUGUAUCUUUUGGUAUAUGUCGAUGAUAUUAUCCUUGUCAGCUCUUCUCAGUAUGAUGCUGAUGCUCUUGUCUGCUCUCUUGGUGCUGAUUUUGCGGUCAAAGAUCUUGGGAAGCUUCACUACUUUCUUGGAGUUGAGGUCACUUCUCGUGCUACUGGUCUUGUCCUUACGCAGAAGAAGUACUCCUUGGAGUUGUUACAGAGAGCUGGCAUGCUGAAGUGCAAACCGACCACCACACCCAUGUCGUCUACCGACAAGAUAACAGCUGCUGAUGGUGAGCUUUUGUCUCCUGCGGAUGCCACAGAGUACAGGAGCAUUGUUGGUGGACUUCAGUACUUGACGAUCACGAGACCAGAUAUCUCUUAUGCUGUUAACAGGGUUUGUCAGUAUCUUCAGGCUCCCAGAGAUACUCAUUGGGCUGCUGUUAAACGCAUUCUUCGUUAUGUUCAGUUCAUCCUGACAUUUGGUAUGCAUAUUCGGCCGACUUCCUCUCGGGUCCUUUCGGCCUUCUCUGAUGUAGAUUGGGCUGGUAGCCCAGAUGACAGACGAUCCACGGGGGGUUAUGCAGUAUUCUUUGGCUCUAAUUUGAUCGCCUGGAGUGCUCGGAAACAAGCUACUGUGUCACGUAGCAGUACUGAAGCUGAGUACAAGGCUGUGGCUAAUGCUACUGCAGAGAUUAUUUGGGUGCAGUCUUUGCUUCAGGAGUUGGGUUUGUCUCAACCACAGCCUCCUAUUCUUUGGUGUGAUAACAUCGGUGCUACAUACCUUUCUGCAAAUCCAGUAUUUCAUGCCCGAAUGAAACACAUUGAAGUUGACUAUCACUUUGUACGGGAACGUGUAUCACAGAAGCAACUCCAGAUCAAGUUUAUCUCAUCUAAGGAUCAACUUGCAGACAUCUUCACUAAGCCUUUACCGCUGCCACAGUUUGAGGCUUGUAGGCGCAAUCUUACCCUUCUCAGUUCUUUAGAAAGUGGCUAAGAUUGAGGGAGGGUGUUAGACUAUGUAUAGCUUCUGUACCUAUGUACGUAUAUGGUACAUAUUGUAACACAACCAUUAUAUAUAAUGAGAUAAGCCACCCCUAAAGGGUUGUGCUGAUUCCCCAAAACUUAUUGUCUUACACAACCCCACCUCAGAGAUGAGGAAAUCAGACCUGCGCUGCAGUAAUUCCUUUGACUUCCUCAGCAGACACGGAGCGUUACACACAACAAUGCUCACCUCAGCGUCUGACCACCUGAACAUCUUCUUCAAGUAGGCCACAUUGGCGGCGAUCUUCUCCUCGCUGAGGAAUCUGACAGUAUCCAGCGUGUGCCUGAACAUCCUGAGCCACGAGGCAUGCCAAGGCCUUCGGCGCAUGCCACCAUCGCCCUGACGUGUUCUGGCUUGUUGCUCAGGACACCCCGCGCGCGGAGGGACAACUUGGUGAUAUCGCAAUCAUCUAGCCCGCAUUGCCGUAGGAGCGCGACGUUGGGUUUGACCAUCUCCUCGAUGCUGUGUUUUGGUUUUCGGUUUGCGUUUUUUCUCGCCCCUGAACGAGAUGGCCGAAAUUCGGCCAUUUCAAAAAUCUCGGUAAAAUCUCGGACGAAAUUACAAAACCAAAAUUUGAAUUUUAAACGAAAUUUGACUAAAAAUUGGCCGAAAUUCGGCCGAAUUUUUUGAAAACAAGCAGAGCAAAUGUACAGCAGUCGAACAACACUGAGGAGUACAUGUAUGCGUUACCAAACUAGCUUUGGGGAUUAAUAACUCCAAAAGAAAAGAUUGAAACAAGGAUACAGAGAGGUGAUCCAGAGUUGAGGAGUUCCCGAUGGAUUCAGCCGCAGCCCGCAGCCGGCAGAGGUCAGCAGCAGGGGCCGGUCGUAGGAACGGCGAGAACGGGGUAGGAGCCGCAUGCUCGAGCGGGGAGGCAGGUGCCGACGAGCGGAGGAGCCGCGUAUUGGCGCAUCGCCGCCGCCGCAAACACAGGGGCCGCAGGGGAUCGUGGUUAGUUUAGGGUUCACGAGUUCGGUUCGAUGCUUUUAAUCCAGGCAAACCGUGGGGAGGCCCAGAAGUUGGACUGGGCCAGAAAAAAGUUUCAAUCUGGGCCGAAAGUUUUGGCCGGCACAGACAUUUACCGGGUCGAGGCGAGAUGACCGAAAUUCGGCCGAAAAUUGUUUUUUUCGGCCGAAAAUCAAAACACAGCCUCGAUGUCAGCGCCGGCGAGGUAGCCUUGCUUGAGCACCCGGAAGAGGUUCUCCGAGGAGCCGAAUAGGAGCAGGUAGUACCGCAAAUUGGAAACAAUGGACCUGGAACAGAAGUGGGCGAAGGAGAGCGCGACGAGGCGCACGAUCUCAGUACGCGAGAGGCCGAGGCCGGUGAGCCCACGACGACGGGGGCUAGAGUUUUCUCUACUUUGGCGCAGAGGAACAACGGGUCCUUGGCGACGAGGGCGGCGACGUCGGUGCCGGAGAGGCCGAGGCCGGCGAGGAAGGAAAGGACGGCGUCGGGCUUGGACGAGGACUUGAGGUGGGAGAGCUUGGCGGAGGCCUUGAGUGCCUGGGGUCGGGUGAGGCCGAAGGUGGAGACGAGGUAGUCGUCGACGACGAAGCUAGGGUUUGGGGAAACGCCGGGCGCGGCGGCCGCGGAGAGGGGGCGGUGGAGAGGGGGGCCUGAGAGGUGGCGGGGGAAGAGAGGAGCCGCACGAGGAUGCAGCCACGGAGGCGGAGCAUGGCGGCGGCGGCGGCGGAGAGAUUGAUUCCCUAUGGAGGCGGGUGCGAAUGGGAUGGUGCUUCGGAGGCGGGGAUGCGGCGCCCCGGCGAGGCAGGUGAGGAACGGAGGAAGAGAACAGGAGGAGAGAUCGAAGAGGAUGGCACUUCGGCGGCGGCGGCGGCGCCGCCGAAGAGAUUUUCCGGUCCGCUGUGAGUGGAGAGGAAAAAUGGGAAAUGGCAGGUGCGAUGCGAAUGGAGGCUCCGCAAAUUGCAAUAUCACUGAAUCCCAGGGGUCUUUACGUCUUUCAAAAAUACAAAAUACAUUUAAAAAAACAUACAUAAUACAUUGAGCCUCAUGGAAACUUUCAUAUACACAUGGAAAAUAGAUAUCCCCUCCGUUUAAUAAUGUAGUGCAUAUAGAUUUUUGAAAGUCGGACUUUGCAAAUUAUGAUCAAAUUUAUAAAGCGAACUACUUAUACCUACAUUAUCAAAUAUAUAAAAUAUGAACCUACGUCUUAUGAUGAAUCUAAUGAUAUAUGCUUGACAUUCUAGAUGUAAAUGUUUUUCUUCACAAACUUGGUCAAAUUUUGUUAGAUUUGACUUUUCAAAAAAUCUACAUGCAAUCAUUAUGCAAUCGGUAUUAUAAGGAAAAUGACUUUGAGCGAUAAGAUUAUAUCACAAAAUAAGCUAUUAUACGACUUGUACUUAUCCUAUGAUUUUUUUCUGUAGGUAUAGUACUUCAUCCGUUUUUAUUUACUUUGCAUAUUAGAGUUGACUGAAGUCAAACUUUGUAAAGUUUGACCAAGUUUAUAGAAAAGAAUAUAAAUAUUUACCCUAACAAACGAAAAUCUGCAUCUGAGCCCGGGCUCAGAUGUUCCCGCUCAGAAAAAAAUUCAAAACAAAUUCUAGAAAAAUUCAAAUAAAUCCAAUUUUUUGUGUGGUAGAUAAUUUGAUGCGUGAGGCCCGCUUCAAAUUUCAACUCAUUUGGAUAUCUGAGGAGCUCUCGGCAAAAAAGACAAAUCGGAUCAAAACAGUUCGUGAACAAUAAACUUUUUUACAGACCCGAUUUUGUCUUUUUGCAGAGAGCUGCUCAAAUGUCCAAACGAGUUGAAAUUUGCAGCAAACCUCACGCAUCAAAUUAUCUAUCACACAAAAAAUGGAAUUUUUUUGAUUUUUUCUAGUAUUUGUUUUGAUUUUUUUCGUCGGAGCGAGUGCAGUUGAGCCCGGGAGCCAAAUUGGCUUAUAUGAUGUGAAAGUAUGUUCAAUAAUGAAUGUAAUGGUAUUGAUUUGUUAUUGUACAUGUUAAUAUUUUUGACUAUAAACUUCGUCAAAAUUUAUAAAGCUUGACUUUGACCAAAACUAAUAUGCGGAAUAAAUAAAAACGGAGGGAGUAAAUGGCUAUGUUUUUUUUUGUACGUAGUAAAUGGUUACUUUUUCUGAUUUUUUUUAAAUGGUUAUGCUUGCUAACCAAUCCAAUUCAAAUUAUAUGUCGCUCAAACGGAUGUAUCUAAUUAAUAUGGAUCGGAUGGAGCAGAAAAGUUCAUAUGGAUAUAUAUUUUCUCAAAACUUGAAAGUAUGAUUUCUACAAGUAAAAAAAAAUCAUAUGUGAACUAUGUUUGUUUUUAGCAUUUUGUGUGCGUUCAUGUUUCUUUUUCUCUCUCUUCAUUCUAGCCUCUUUUCCUCCACCUCACUCUGUUCUCACAUUGACAUUGUUGCCUUUUUCAGUGGACUCCUACCUAUCUUUUCUAACUUUUGCAAGGUGAGAAUUGAGAAGGUUAUUAUUCUUUAGUUUUAUGUGUAUAGCUAUCCUAGAGUCGAGAUCAAUUGCAUCGUGUCCACUUAUCCUCUAUAACACUAAGCUUCCUAGUUUUAAAAAGCCCACACUCAAUUAAGGUCUCCAAUUAGAAUUGGAUCAUCCGAUUUUGAACGGGUCAACAAUUUCUCAAAGCUUCAUAAUCCAAUUUUUUUAUACUAUACCAUAUGCUUCCUAAUUUUUAAGGCCUCACAAUUAAUUAAGAUAUUCAAUAUAGAUUGAUCAUCCAAUUUUGACUGGGUCAACAAUUUCUCAACCUCUCCAAUUGAAUUCUUUUAAUUCACUAUAUUCCAAAAUUUUGAAUCUCUUUCAUUCAAUUGAGGUAUUCAAUUUUGAUUUGGUUGAAGAUUUUGAGUGGGCCAAUGAUUUUCAAAUCAAUCAGCUGCAACUGACCUAUAAAAACAUAUCAAUCCCAUGCACCCUUCCACCACAUAGAAAAAAGAAACGUCACCAUGUGAUAUUGUAGUAUCAAUAUAGUACAUGCAACCACCAACGCAGAAAUUUUUCCACAUAAAUAUAGGUUGGUUAGCGGAUGACACAGUCAUCUCCCCACCCGCCUAACUUAAUAUUCCAUCAGUUAUAAAAUAUGAAGGGUAUUAAUUUUGUAGAAAGUAAAACUUCUUUAACUUUGACCAAGUUCAGAGCAAAAAUAUCAACAUCCACAAUAUUAAACAAAAAAAGUAUGGAAAUUCAUUUCGUGAUGAAUCUAAAAAUACUGAUUUAAUCUUAUGAAUUUUGAUAUAUUUCUCUCAAAUUUGAAAAAACUUAAAAGGUUUGGCUUUUCAAAAAAAUACACCUUAUAUUAUGAAACAGAGUGAUUAGUUUCUUAAGAUACCCAAUAACAUGAACGGCGCAGCAAAGCGCGCAGAACCCUUCUAGUUAGUAGUAUAUCUAAGAACAAUUAGCAUCCCAUUGAUGAUCGAUAAACCUUCUUAGUCCAGCUAGUGGUUGGUUGUCUAGAGUAUAGCUGGCCAAAUGGGCCGGUUUUUUCGGGUCGGCCCGUGAGCACGCCGGCACGGCCCACCUUGGGCCAGGCACGGCACGGGCCAAACGAGCCAGGCCCAGCACGCGGCACGCCCUAGGCCGUGCCUGGGCUGGAGGCUGGGCAUGCGGGCCGGCACGGCACGGCCCGAUUAUGUUUUUUAUAUUUGUUAUACAUUUAUAUAUGAUCCAACAUGUAAAAAUAAGCUAAAAACGCUCAAUGCGUCAAAUAAUAGGCUAAAAAUAUGCGGCCCACCGUGCUAAAUGGGCCAACGUGCCGGCUCGUUUACUAACGGGCCGUGCCUGGGCCUGGGGGCGCAGCACGCGGGCCGGCACGGCACGGCACGUAUAGUAAUCGUGCCCUGGCGGACCGUGCCGGACCAGGCACGAUUAUGAUGGGCCGGGCCAUGCCGUGCCGGGCCAGCCCGUUUGGCUAGGUAUGGUCUAGAGAUCUAUAUGGAGUCAGUUGAGAUGGGAUGGUCAGCCAAGUGGGUUGAUCAAUGCUCCUCUUAAAAUUCGAAGCCUAAAGUAGAUGUGCUACUCGAGAAAUAAAAAGACCAACGUAGACCGUACCAACAUCUAAUAUUUGACGUCACAUUUAAAUUUGAUACUAUUCAUACCCAUAAUUGUCCCUUUGCUCAUCGAAUUAUGCAUCUUAUAUAAAUGUUGUAAAUGAUCAAUUUUUAUAAUAAUUUUAGGGUUGUAGUUCGGUGCAUAGGUAGCUCAGAGGAACCAUAGUCAUCGCUUCCUCUCCAAAAAAGCUUAGGGUUCCUAUGCCUCCCGCUGGCGCAGCUGCCGGUCCACCUCGUCUCCGGUGGCCCUAGGGUCAUGGGGACACGGUGAAUCUCAUCCCUUACCAGAGGGCUUCGUUUUUAGACGUUUCUUUGAAUUUUGUUAGGGUUGUGUCUUGCUAAUUAAGGAGGGCAAGACAACGACGGCUUCCUGAAGAUUGAAUAAGAUUCUCCCCGCCUAGCCCCCGUCUCGAUGGCGCAUCUAACAUCGUCGAAGAGUGUGUGGAGGUGUAUCUCCGCCAGAUCUCGCAGGAUUCGGUAGGUGGUUUGUCUUUGGUGGAUCUACUCGGACCCGGUCUUCGUUCGUCUACGUUUGUGUGUCGCUAGAUUGGAUCCUUCCGAUCUAUGGGUCUCUUCAUCGGCGGGGGUUGCUAUUCUAGUGCGCUGGUCCUACGAGGCCUUAGCACGACAAGUUCCCGACUGUGUACUACAAUAAGUUCUGCCCGGCUCCGGGGAGGGAAGGGCGAUGACGACGGUGCGUCUUCGGCUCGUUUUAAUGCUUGUAGUCUUUGCUAGAUGGUCUAAGGAUGAAUGUGAUUUUUAUUAUUCCUAUUGUUCAUUGUAUUGUCAUGAUUGAAAAUGAAUAUAUCAAAUGAUUUCUCAUAGAAAAGAAGCUCAUAAGAACCAUUAAAAGGACAAUCGUGUGGUCUCCCUAGACUUUUUUUUAGAAAAGGAGGAAGACCCCCGGCCUCUGCAUCUGAGCGAUGCAUACAACCACUUUAUUAAUUAUUCUCAAAAGACCUUACAAAGAAAUACAACAAUAAGUCUGAAGCCAUCAUCUAGGCAACAUCUGUUGCUACUCCUAUUCAUUUGAUGAAGGGAUGCUGAUAGUCUGGGCUUAAUACCAAACAGACCUCGCAGCCAAACCUAACAUCUAAGACCUGAGUUCCCAUCCAGGACGCCUGCCGGGUAUGGGUCACCCACCGGUCCGGCACACUCCUCAACAUGGACGCCUGCCGGGUAUGAGGCCGCCGCAGCCACCUGCCACCAAUCCAUCUUCAGAGAUGUAGUGUUGCAUCUACCUUGUCCGGUCUAGCUGCCGUCGACGCCACCACGAUGCCAGACAACGCCACCAUCCUGCGCUCGUCCAUCAACACACGCCCAGCAGCAAGAUCCCGCUGCUCUAUGCCCCUGAGACCCGCCAUUGUCGACGUAUCAGAUGCAACGCCGCUCCUCCUUCGCGAACACCACCUUCUACCACUGGUCCUAUCCCCUCCACCUGUAGAUCCUCUGAACUCCCAACCGAGCCCUAGUGCCCCUGACGACACCUCCAGGAAGGUCACGACGCAAAAAGCGCCGCUGCCGCCAGAUCCGAAAAGGAUUGAAGGUUUUCACCCGGCCGGGGAUCGGGGUGGAUAGAUUGGGCCCUCAGCUGCGCCUUCAUGAAGGAAAGCGGCACCCAUGAGCGUCGCCGCCGCCGGGCCGGCUAGACUGGCCAAGGUUUUCCCCGGACCCAAAGUACACCACCAGGGCUGACCACCACCGGAGCCUGCAGCCGUAAACCACCAGGACGACGACAGAGGCAGCAGGAGAAAGGGGAACCAUUAAAAGGACAAUCGUGUGGUCUCCCUAGAUGGUCCUUGGAGGGAGCGAUGCAAUUUCAUUUCCUUUUUAUUGCAUUCUCAUGGAUCUAUGGGAUACACAGAUUUGGAAUAGCCAUGCGUUAUAUAGGUUUGGAAAAGAUGAAUGGGCAGGACAAAGCCCAUCAAGGUCCACAGUUGGACAUGGUAUUUUUCUCUUCCCUGAUCUUGUGUGGUUGUUACAUUACAACGAGGACUAGAUGCAUUCAUGAACCUGAGGAGACUAUAUACGGUGAUUAUAUCGUGGCUAUCAUAUUUACCUAUUUUACAAAGAAUGAUCGGAUAUAAUUUACUGGUACAAUCCAUUGUGUGCCUUUCACGCUUCCGUCAGUUUAAUUUCCUCACAUUUUAAGUAGUCUUGUGAAGUUGUGAUCAGGUAGCUCGCAAUCUGAAUUUCUGUAAUGAAUUUUUUUUGGUCCAACGAGUAAAACGUAGACUUGGUGACCCUCAAAAGGGAUGAUAUUUUACAUAACGAGUAAAUCAUGAUGUCCUUAGAUAUUUCUUAUGAGUAUUUCUUCUUUUCUGCGGAAAAGUUUCUUGUCUUCCGAACUCUUGGAUGUGGGCAGAACUCUUGAUGAGCCGAGGCACCCGCGGCAUGCCAUUGUGAGUCAAGUUUGCCAUUGUUUGAUGGGAAGUUUUCAAGUGCUACAUGUAGAAGGACGCUAUAGUGGCUGCAAUCUUGCUGCUAAGUGACACGUACUGUCACCCUGUUUCUAAUGAAAAAAACUGAAGAACAAUGACUCAUUUAAACAUUGUUCAAUUUUGUGGUUCAUGAGCCUUUUCUUCAAAGUUUACUUAAAAGUUGGGUUAUUAGGUAAAAAAUGGUUCCUUUCCUUUUGUGCUUGCAAUUUAUUGUCCUGACAAAAACACUUUUUAUUGCAGUGCUAAGAAAAUGCGUCUACUACUUGACUGAACUAAAUACUCUUGAUAGCAAACCCUCUCUGGGCAUAUUCGUAGAUUCAAGGUGAGGAGACAUGCCAGCAUACAGACCAGCAACAUACAUGGCACAUGUACGACGUUCUAACAAGAGCAUAAAGUUGAUUGAUUCUUGAUAGCAUCACCUGAAUAUAUCACUCACGGAUUCAUGAAUGUUCCCCGUUGCAAUGCACGGCCAUUCACCUAGUAAAGGCAAUGAUUUGUUGGUAGUAGAGGCAUCUCAUGUUUCAAAGGGUUAAACCUUAGCCGUCGUGACCCGGCUCCAUGGCUGGGUCAAUCUCGCACCUCUGUUGGUGCCGAACCCUAGGCAAAUUCCCCCAAAUCUCUUGUUGUUUCUAUUGAUUGACCGAAUGUGAGGAGCAAUAGUAGAUCAAUAACUCUCGUAUAACCGAGGGAAAAAGAAAUGAAGAGAAGUUGGCGAAAGUAUCAAGUGGUACAUCUACUUUUUAUAACAUCACAUGAAGCCGGCGAAAAGGAAAGCCGAUCAACGAAGAAACUGCAUAGGGGACCUAUCAUGAGUGAACAUUGCGUGGGCGCCAUUGGCCGCAUCUCAUCAUCUUGUUGUGUAGAAGAAGAAAUGACUGCCGAUGCUGCUGGUGCCUCCAUCUCUAUGACCUUGCCGUCCAAGCCCGCAUUAGCAACAAACACGUAGCACUAGAGCACGGGAGGAGAGUUGAUCAGGGAAAUCGCCUUUCUUGACGACAGGAGAAUUAGUGAUGGGCGACUCCACGCGACGCUGAUGUGAUUUCAGGCCACACUAAAGGAUGUCGGAGAAGGGGGCCAUAGGACGAACUCAACCGCAUCGGUAGUGGGCUUGGUGGAUAUUGUGUCGAGGGCUCGGGGACGCACUCGGUGAUGGUGGUGGACCUCGGGGAGGGGGGCCUCAUACACGUGGAUGCAGGGGAAAAGAGGGUGCACGGGCUUGAAGGCAUUACUCAUCCACCUCUUCUGGCAAAGAGAGCUCAUCGGGGCCAACCGCGUGAAGGAGGAGCUUGAGGUAGCUUGGAGGAGGCGACGACGACAACCAGAUCCAUCUGGCAAGCCAGAGUGGAGGCAUCCCACGUGGGAGCAGUGAUUUCGGUGCCUAAGCUUAGAUGCACCUGCUAUUAUGUUUGUUCAUUGCUGCAUGGAGAUUCAGGAAAUGGGGCAUGAGGUGGCAUUGCUAGGGCGUGGAAAAUCCCCAAAAUGAACUAUACAUGCAUGAAUAGUGUGAUACAUGUGGGUCUAUCGUGUAGCACACGAGGAGGGUUCGAACGAAGGACAGACGGUGCCAUCUUGGUUGGAUUCUGAUCCAUGGCACCUAAUCGUCUGCAUUCAUCUAAGUCGUGGCUCACUCUGCUGCCUGUGGCAUGACUUUGACACUUUGAAUCCGAGUCAUGGCCUAAAGAUUUGUGUAGCUCCAGUUGGGGCCUGCGGUGUAGGAUCGUCGGUACGCACACCGAAUGUCAUCCACGACCGACGUCGGCCAACAGAUUGCUAGCUUACUAGACGCUACAAGAGGUAGCGUCCUUCGUGAAGUUUGUGUGCUUCAACACCAACCAGGUCAUCCUAAGCCGUCAUGGACAACCCAUUCAUCUACGUGGUUGACUUCAACAUUGGAGACGACUUCUCAUGGUCGUUGCUCAUGUCACACCUUGCUCACCAUGGCAACAAGCUGUUUCAUGUCACGUCACUUGCCACCACAUUAAUGCACCGCGCGGAUACGCAUGCACCUACAAUCGUGCAUGGUGUCCCUCAGAGUUCACGCGCGUCCCUAGGGGCUCCCAUUCCAGUACGACGAGAAGGACCUCCUGGUCUGGGCUGGAAGUCACGUAAUGGUACCUACAACAAUCUCGAAAAGAGUAGAAGGCCUGGAUUUCGAGAGCAUCUGAGCUCGCACUUAGAAAUCUAUUUUUGUUCCCACGGUCCAUACAUAGAGAGAAACUAGAAAAGAAAAUGCAAAACACGCAUACAUGCAUGCAUGCUUCCACAAAUGGGUUACCAGAUACCUUUCUGGGGCUCUGGUGACCUCACAUUCAUUGUUGACCCCUUACGACCUCACAAUCAUGGGAGAGAUUUCAUGACCGCACACUGUCUCUAUAAAAGCCUAUCACCUCUAUGAAUCAUGUGGCUCCAUCAUUUCAAAUCCUCCGCGCGCCUAAGAUACCACUUGAGAAAUUACUAAUGGCCAACGGAAAGAAUGUCAUGGCCAUGUUGUUUCUCACCACCAUUGUGGCGGUGGCGGCCACAAGGCCAGCCGAGACCUAUGGCGCUGCGGAGGAGAACACAUUGAAGAUGGCUACCCCCAGCAAGAAAGGGGUUGACGCUACCUUAGCAGCUACACGUGUUGUUGCCGCCGAGAAGUCCAUCAAGAAGGCUGAAAGCGCCACCACACCAGAAGAGGCCGCGACUGCCAAGCAAGAUGGAGCAAAAUCUGCUUCUGCUGCAUUAAAGUACAAUGCCAUCUCUCAGCAGGCAAAUGGUAAAGGUUCUUCUACCUCCCUAGGCAGGAAAGAAGCAGCCGGUACUUUAGCCGCCGCACACUAUGCCGCCGCCGAGAAGUCCAUCAAGAAGGCCGAAACCGCCAAGACACCUGCAAAGGCCGUGGCUGCCAAGCGAGACGCAGCAAAGUCUGUUGACAAUGCAUUAAAGUAUGAUGCCAUCUCUCGGAAAGCAGCUGGUACAAGUUCUUCUACCUCCCCCAAUAGGAAAGAAGGCACCACUGAUGCUGCUAAGAUGUUCACCAAGAAGGCUGAAACCGCUACCACACCUGAAGAGGCCGCGAAUGCCAAGCAAGCUGCAGCCAAGUCUACCGCUGCUACAUCAAAGUAUGGUGUCAUUUCUCAGCAAGUAGCUGGUACAAGUUCUUCUACCUCCCCUAGCAGGAAAGAAGCUGCCGGUAC